GAUGAAGAACGCAGCAAAAUGCGAUAAGUAAUGUGAAUUGCAGAAUUCAGUGAAUCAUCGAAUCUUUGAACGCACAUUGCGCCCGCCAGUAUUCUGGCGGGCAUGCCUGUUCGAGCGUCAUUUCAACCCUCAAGCACAGCUUGGUGUUGGGACUCGCGUUAAUUCGCGUUCCCCAAAUUGAUUGGCGGUCACGUCGGGCUUCCAUAGCGUAGUAGUAAAACCCUCGUUACUGGUAAUCGUCGCAGCCACGCCGUUAAACCCCAACUUCUGAAUGUUGACCUCGGAUCAGGUAGGAAUACCCGCUGAACUUAAGCAUAUCAAUAAGCGGAGGA
This 332-nucleotide unclassified non-coding RNA is filed under the name soil metagenome. RNAcentral's name for it is "partial contains 5.8S ribosomal RNA, internal transcribed spacer 2, and large subunit ribosomal RNA". The stretch from base 1 to 120 matches the Rfam family "5.8S ribosomal RNA", at positions 35 to 154 of the family's 154-position model. The record is from RNAcentral.